This 175-nucleotide ribosomal RNA is filed under the name uncultured Gammaproteobacteria bacterium. RNAcentral describes it as "partial 16S ribosomal RNA". It matches the Rfam family "Bacterial small subunit ribosomal RNA", at positions 1252 to 1426 of the family's 1533-position model. The record is from RNAcentral. Lineage: Bacteria; Pseudomonadati; Pseudomonadota; Gammaproteobacteria.
ACCUCGCGAGAGCAAGCGGACCUCAUAAAGUGCGUCGUAGACCGGAUCGGAGUCUGCAACGCGACUCCAUGAAGUCGGAAUCGCUAGUAAUCGUAGAUCAGAAUGCUACGGUGAAUACGUUCCCGGGCCUUGUACACACCGCCCGUCACACCAUGGGAGUGGGUUGCAAAAGAAG